CCUAUGACAAGUAUUGACAAUCUUUCUUUCGCACUGUAAAGUUUAUCUUAUCAUAACUGAACAAAAUCUUUUAUUAUAGAGCAUAUGUAAGAUGGAAACAAAGUAAUUGCAAGCUUUAAAAAUGCUCUCAUUUCUAUGACUGUAUAAAAUCUUUAAUAUACAGUGUAGUAUUUUUUUAACAUUUUUUAUUUUAUGUGUACGAAUGUAUUGCCUGCAUGUGUGUAAGUACACCCAUGUCACGCAAUGCCCAAGGAGGUUCAGAAGAAGGCAUCAAAUCCCCUGGAACUGCAGCUACAGAUGGCUGUUAGCCACCAUGUGGGUGCUGGGAAUCAAACCCAGGUCCUCUGCAAGAACAGUUAGUGCUCUUAACUGCUGAGCCAUCUCUCCAGCCCCCAAGUGUAGUAUUAACACUCUAUCAACCAAUAAACUGAGUUUCUGCUAUGGACAAACCACAUGACAGGCUCUAGGCAUACAGUGUAAGAUGCUACCGUAGGUAAUGUGUUUUAAAUGUGAGCAUGUUUUUAUAAAACAACUUACUUUUUUUUUUUCAAAAUUACUUUUUAUGGGGUUUCAUGGGGACAAAAAUUUCAGACCCACAAAAAGAAUGUAGAAAACUGCAAAAAACUACUAAAAAAACUGGGAAAAUACAGCAAUCAAAAAGAUAGAGCAAAUUAUACACUAAGCUGCAAUCUACAGGAAGAGCUGCUUGCUGUCUCAGAAAGACAAGACAUUUGCAAUGAAAUCGGGUCUAAGCUGACUUGUGAAAAGAUUGCCAAAGAACAAUAUGAUAACAUGAUGAAACAACAGAAGUUGACACAUCUCUCAAAACAACAAGCUGAACAGAUUUCAGUAUUUCAGGCUGAAGUUGAAAGACUAAGGAUGAAAACAUUUCCAGCCCUCGUUCCAAUGUAAAACACUGGCAGGAUCAAGAGGCCAAAC
This 939-nucleotide long non-coding RNA is filed under the name Nannospalax galili (Upper Galilee mountains blind mole rat). RNAcentral's name for it is "lncRNA (ENSNGAG00000024548.1)". Lineage: Eukaryota; Metazoa; Chordata; Mammalia; Rodentia; Spalacidae. The record is from RNAcentral.